Molecule: long non-coding RNA, 1255 nt
Filed under: Capra hircus (goat)
Lineage: Eukaryota; Metazoa; Chordata; Mammalia; Artiodactyla; Bovidae
Description: lncRNA (ENSCHIG00010002402.1)
Source: RNAcentral
UUAAUUCUCCAGAAUGAUCCAUCUAAAUACAGAUCAGAUCAGAUCACUCUUUUGUCCAAAUCUCUCAGAGGCAUCCCAUCACACUUAGAAAAAUAUUCAAAGCUGUAUCUAGAGUCUGCCAUCAGCCUUUCUGAUCUGGCCUCCAGACUCUCUGCACCUCCUUCCCUUGUCUCUCCCUCCAUUCAAGCCUCUCUGGCCUUGCUGUUCCCCAGGACACCAAGCUUCUCUGCCUAGAACAUGCACCCCCGCAAACUGUCCUGUGGCUCCCUCUCCCUCUUCACUCAAGUUCUAAUGUCACCUCCCUGGGGAAGCCUGCCUUGGCCCCUACUUCAAAUAGUGUCCCGUCCUUCCCACCUCCUUCCUCAACUUCAUUUUCUUGCUGAUGCUUCUCAAAGCAGGAUAGCAUCUCAGGGAUUUGUUUACUUGUUUAUUUUCUGCAUUCCCCACUAGAAAAGAAGCUGCUUGUGAGCAUGGGUGUUUCAUUCACUGCUGUACAUCUAGAAUAAGGCCCAGCACAUAUACAACACAAAUGUGUGUGUGUAUGAGUGUGUAUCUGUGUGUAUGCUCAGUCACCCAGUCAAGUCUGACUCUGUGACCCCAUGCACUAUGAAGUGAAGCGAACUGAAACUCCCUCAGUCGUGUCUGACUCUUUGUGACCCCAUGGAUUGUAUAGUCCAUGGAAUUCUCCAGGCCAGAAUACUNNNNNNNNNNNNNNNNNNNNNNNNNNNNNNNNNNNNNNNNNCCAGGGAUCAAACCCAGGUUUCCCGCAUUGCAGGAGGAUUCUUUUCCUGCUGAGCCACAAGGGAAGCCCAUGGAUUUAGCCCUGAUGCCUAAUAAAUAUGUGUUGAAUAAAGCAAUGAAUGAGUGCCUGUGUACACACACAGAGUGAGAAUAUGGAGAGUAGAAACUCUGUCUUUACAUGAAAAUGGCCUUGCAUCAGAAUGGAGUUUUGAAAUUCCAAACAUCAGGUCCAAUCCCUGGAGAUGCCAGUGCACAAGGGACUCACACUGUUCAACACUCCACAACUGAUUCUGAUUCAGAACCAAAAGCCAAACACCUCUCUCAAAGGCUGAGCUACCUGUUAACUGAAGAUCUUCAAUUUGAGGGCUCCAAGGCAGAACUGAAGUUGCUGGGCUUCAGUUGCUGGCUCUUGGCUGGAAACAACUUCACCUAUAUACAGUUAAUGCCUACAGGCCACAGUCCUGUGGGCCAUAAUGACCCUAUCCCCAGCACUGGAAAUAAGAACACUUCUUAA